AGUAACACGUGGGCAACCAACCCCUCACAUCGGGAUACCCCGGGGAAACUCGGAUCAAUACCGGAUAAUGCGCGACGCUGUUGGGCGUCGCACCAAAGGUAGCUUCGGCCUCUGGUGAGGGACGGGCCCGCGGCCCAUUAGCUUGUUGGUGGGGUAAUGGCCUACCAAGGCAACGAUGGGUAGCUGGUCUGAGAGGAUGAUCAGCCACAUUGGGACUGAGACACGGCCCAA
RNAcentral lists this ribosomal RNA (231 nucleotides) under uncultured bacterium. Its description in RNAcentral is "partial 16S ribosomal RNA". It matches the Rfam family "Bacterial small subunit ribosomal RNA", at positions 109 to 334 of the family's 1533-position model. The record is from RNAcentral.